GUCGGCCGCUCCUUCACUCCAUCUGAAAAUAGCACAAUAGAAGUACCAACUCUAGAUUUUUCUUAACCUUUUGAAGAAUCAAAGCUUGGGGUUUAUUUUCUUGAUGGAUUAGAGGCUUGUAAUUGGAUUGGAGGAAGGCGUCUCUACACCUCUUGGGAAUUAAUUUGUAGAGUUUCAAAUCUACACUUUUGCUAUUUUUGGAGAUUCAUAGACUUUUGUGUGGCUCGCCUCAACUUGGAAGACUAGAAUUUUUUUGAAGGAUCAAACGUGGGCAUCUUGUAGUUGAGGUUUUGCUUAGGGUCAUUCUAGGAUGUAAGUUUACCCUUUAUUUUUUUAUGAAGGAGGUUGACUGUAAAUAUUUGCUUAUGAAGUUGGAUAUAUUGAUGGAUUCGUGAAUAAUAUGUUUUAUUUUUGGGGAA
Molecule: long non-coding RNA, 419 nt
Organism: Camellia sinensis
Lineage: Eukaryota; Viridiplantae; Streptophyta; Magnoliopsida; Ericales; Theaceae
Source: RefSeq, a predicted model, not a curated record